RNAcentral lists this long non-coding RNA (435 nucleotides) under Marmota monax (woodchuck). The record is from RNAcentral. Lineage: Eukaryota; Metazoa; Chordata; Mammalia; Rodentia; Sciuridae.
GAGGUUGUGUCUGCUGGUAGUGUAACGGGGUCCACUUUAUGCUUUGAAUACGGCUCUUGCUGCUCUGCCCCUGCAGUUUAUUUCUAAAAUGGACACGUUUCUUUCUCUUCUCCUCUCCCUGCUCCUCCCUAGUCUCUCCCUCAUCCCGGGGGAAACAAGGUUGCCUUUCUUCCCCAUCCUAGGUAGAGUCACCUGUCCUUGAGCACACACCCACCAUGGGAACAAAGUAAUCCAGACUUUGGGGAUGGUACCAGAAGAUCUCAGAAAUGACUGUCUCCCAAAUUAACAAGGGAAUUACGACUCCAGACAGAGAACACAUGGAAUAGAGCCUUUGAGUCACCUCUUUAAAAGCCCCCUGUUUCUGUCUAUGGGCAGAAUCACAUCCUUCAGGACAGGAGUCCCCUGUGUUUCUCCUUGGCUGGCAUAGCAAUAAAC